UGACAGUGCUUUGAAGAUCUCCUUUGA
RNAcentral lists this non-coding RNA (27 nucleotides) under Homo sapiens (human). Lineage: Eukaryota; Metazoa; Chordata; Mammalia; Primates; Hominidae. The record is from RNAcentral.